CGAAGGGGCUAGCGUUGUUCGGAAUUACUGGGCGUAAAGCGCACGUAGGCGGAUAUUUAAGUCAGGGGUGAAAUCCCGGGGCUCAACCCCGGAACUGCCUUUGAUACUGGGUAUCUAGAGUAUGGAAGAGGUGAGUGGAAUUCCGAGUGUAGAGGUGAAAUUCGUAGAUAUUCGGAGGAACACCAGUGGCGAAGGCGGCUCACUGGUCCAUUACUGACGCUGAGGUGCGAAAGCGUGGGGAGCAAACAGGAUU
RNAcentral lists this ribosomal RNA (253 nucleotides) under uncultured bacterium. RNAcentral's name for it is "partial 16S ribosomal RNA". It matches the Rfam family "Bacterial small subunit ribosomal RNA", at positions 527 to 779 of the family's 1533-position model. The record is from RNAcentral.